This 63-nucleotide transfer RNA is filed under the name Halocynthia aurantium. RNAcentral's name for it is "tRNA-Pro". Lineage: Eukaryota; Metazoa; Chordata; Ascidiacea; Stolidobranchia; Pyuridae. The record is from RNAcentral.
CAGGGGUUAGUUUAUGUUAGAAUGUUAGUUUUGGGGAUUUGUGGUGUGUUGAAGCACCUCUGA